This 420-nucleotide ribosomal RNA is filed under the name uncultured bacterium. RNAcentral describes it as "bacterial SSU rRNA". It matches the Rfam family "Bacterial small subunit ribosomal RNA", at positions 356 to 773 of the family's 1533-position model. The record is from RNAcentral.
AAGGAAUAUUGGUCAAUGGAGGCAACUCUGAACCAGCCAUGCCGCGUGCAGGAAGACAGCCCUCUGGGUCGUAAACUGCUUUUAUUCGGGAAUAAACCUUUCUACGUGUAGAGAGCUGAAUGUACCGAAGGAAUAAGGAUCGGCUAACUCCGUGCCAGCAGCCGCGGUAAUACGGAGGAUCCAAGCGUUAUCCGGAUUUAUUGGGUUUAAAGGGUGCGUAGGCGGCUUAUUAAGUCAGGGGUGAAAGACGGUGGCUCAACCAUCGCAGUGCCUUUGAUACUGAUGAGCUUGAAUGAACUAGAGGUAGGCGGAAUGUGACAAGUAGCGGUGAAAUGCAUAGAUAUGUCACAGAACACCGAUUGCGAAGGCAGCUUACUAUGGUUUUAUUGACGCUGAGGCACGAAAGCGUGGGGAUCAAAC